CAGCAGUAGGGAAUCUUCGGCAAUGGACGAAAGUCUGACCGAGCAACGCCGCGUGAGUGAAGAAGGUUUUCGGAUCGUAAAACUCUGUUGUUAGAGAAGAACAAGGAUGAGAGUAACUGUUCAUCCCUUGACGGUAUCUAACCAGAAAGCCACGGCUAACUACGUGCC
This 168-nucleotide ribosomal RNA is filed under the name uncultured organism. RNAcentral's name for it is "partial 16S ribosomal RNA". It matches the Rfam family "Bacterial small subunit ribosomal RNA", at positions 349 to 509 of the family's 1533-position model. The record is from RNAcentral.